RNAcentral lists this transfer RNA (75 nucleotides) under Raoultella phage Ro1. RNAcentral's name for it is "tRNA-Gly". It matches the Rfam family "tRNA". Rfam says of the family: Transfer RNA (tRNA) molecules are approximately 80 nucleotides in length. Their secondary structure includes four short double-helical elements and three loops (D, anti-codon, and T loops). Lineage: Duplodnaviria; Heunggongvirae; Uroviricota; Caudoviricetes. The record is from RNAcentral.
GAGGCCGUAGUAUAGCGGGAAUUAUGACUGGCUUCCACCCAGUAGAUGAGAGUUCAAUUCUCUCCGGUCUCUCCA